RNAcentral lists this long non-coding RNA (693 nucleotides) under Capsella rubella. RNAcentral's name for it is "long non-coding RNA (CRUB_LNC002051)". Lineage: Eukaryota; Viridiplantae; Streptophyta; Magnoliopsida; Brassicales; Brassicaceae. The record is from RNAcentral.
UGUUGGAAACGUCAUUGUACUAUUCAAAAUCAAAAUGGUUUCGUUUUAACAUCAUACAGUUCUCGUUGUCAAUCUUAAUAGCUAAAACCAUGCAUACAAUUGGAAUAGCUGAAAAUCUUAAAUAACAUCCAACAAUUCUGCAGCUUCCAAUAUGCAGCUUCAUCAGGAGGACCAGAUGCGGCGGUUAACUAACAUAUAGCACCGUAUACAAACAACUUCAGAAAACAAUGAAGCAAAAUUGGAUUGUUUGUGUAGGAUUUCAUCGGGAAACAGUUAGCUGCGAACACAGAUGACGAUGAAAGCAAAAAUAUUAGAUGUUCAAAGAUGAAGACAAGUCAUGUGGUUACAGAAUUAUGGAUAGCUUUCAUAGGUAUCCACGUGGUUACAGACUAAUAAAAAUUUUGGUACCAGAUAUGUGGGCAGAAACUAACCUUGGGAGAGCGUAAUAGCACACAAAAAGAAAGUCAACGGUCCCAGGGGAAGGGAGGAUGAAGAUGGAGCUUUUAAUCUAACGACGGAAGGUACGAAAACAGUGACGAAGGUUGGGAUUGGUUGGCUAGUGCUUCGACCGGUUGGAGGAUAAAGUUUAGAGGGUGGAUCUACGAUUCCGACGGGCUAAAGAGGAAUAUUUUGUUUGUUAAUGUUACGAUGAGGUGGAGGGGGAAUGUUUAGACAAUGGGAUGAAGAUUUUGC